UCCUGAGAGCAGACAGCGCGGGCUGGGAGCGCCAGCAAGGGCGGCCCUCGCGCGCCUGGCUGCCAGCCCGCAGGGGGCUCGCACGCAGACCUGCCCUUGCCACCUCAGCGCUCGGGUGCGGGCUGGGGGCGGUGGAGCCAGGAAAGGUGGUGCCGAGAGCGGAGCGCAGGACAGCGCAGGAGCCCCGGCGCAACGCGGCGCGCACAGACCCAGGAUUUGUGAAGAGGUGACCCAAAUUUCAAGACAAUGUUGGAUGCAAACGGAUUUGCCAGCAAUUGCAUCACUGUCAAAACCAGCUCUGCCCGUGUCUUCCGAAGAUACCAAGUGAAAUACGUGUAGAUGGGAUUUACAUCUGAAAAACCAAGGCAAGAGGCCAUGGGAAGGGACGGAGGUGGAACAGGACUGGACAGGAGCUGAUAAAUGGUUGUUGCUGAGUACUGGGCAGAUAGGGGUUGGUUAUCCUAUUUUCUUUACUUUCAUAUAUUUUAUUUUUUCUGUAAUAAAACAAAUUAAAAUCACCUGUCAUGACCUCACAGGGGCCAGUGUGGGUUGUGGCAUGAGGCAGCAAGCUCUGCAGAGUUCCUUGGUCAAAAGGAUUAAUUACAAAAGAACUCCACGAGCACCGAGAAGAAGAGAAGGGAAUCCUGGGCAUUUAAAGCCACAAAGAAACUUGAUAUGGUCUUGUCUCUUUCUCUCAACUGACAGUGAGAAACUGAAGACCAGAGAGGGUGAGUGGCUUACCCAAUUUGGCACAACUGACCCCAACCUAGCCCUCCAUGAGGACUGAGCGCAUGAGAGAUCCUGAGCCACAGCCACCCAGCCCUGUUCCUCUCGAAUUUCUGACCUACAGGAACUGCAAGAAGUAAUGAAAGACUGCUGUUUAAAGCCACUGCAUUUUGGCAUGAUUUGUUAUGCAGUCAUAGAUAACCAGAAAACAUCGGAUUUACAUUUUAAGGUAAACUUUUUAUUGAAACAUCACAUACACACAGAGACGUCCACAAAUUGGCUCGAUGAGCUUUCUCAAAGGAAACACAUUCUCUGAGCAGUGUGCACAUCCAGACACAUCAUCUCCAUCCUCCAGAAGCCCCCUCCUGUUACCGCCACUCACAGGUCACCCGUCUCCUGACUUGCAGCCACAGAGAUAGUCCUGCCUAAUUCUGAACAUGGUACAAACGGAAUCAUACAGAAUGGGCUUGGCUUCUUUCACUCUGGGCUGUGUUUAUGAGCAUCAGCCAGAUUGCUGCAUGGAAGCCAUCGUUUGUUCAUUUUUACCACCAUAGAGUAUUCUACUGUUAAUGAGACACCGGCUAUUUAUUCCUUCUACUGUUGAGGGACACAUAGUUAUUUCCAGCUGGAGACUGGUAUAUGUCCCUUGGCUACCUUCUGCAUGCAUUUCUGUUGGAGAUUGUUUCAGGUAUCUCUUAACGUAUAACAGACCACCCUCAAAUUGAGUCCUUGAAACAAUUACCAUUUUCUUCUUUCUCAGGAUUUGGUGCAUGGGAUGGGCUCAGUUGGGCAGUUCUUCUGUUCCAUGUGAUGAUACUGGGGCUGCAGUCAUUCAGAGGCUCAACUGGGCUGAACGUGCAAGGUUUCUUGCUCACGUGGCCAUCAGUGGUGCUGGCUGCUGUUGGGAGCUCCACUGGACUUCUGUCCAGAGCUCCUCAGCUCACCUCUCUGUAUCCUUGCCCUGUGGCUCAGGCUUCUAACAAUACAGAGGCUGGAUUCCAAGAGGAGGGAAUUAGAAGCAUUCAGCCUUCUUAAGACCAGGAGUCAGAUGUCCCAGACUGUCACUGUAUUGACCGGAGCAUUUACAGGUCAGCCCAGUAAUUUUUCUAUCUUGGGCAGGAAUGGGUGGCAUAUGCUGGGGGUAGGGGUAGCAUUGUUGGGGAUCAUCUUUGGAGCUGUGUGCUAAGGAGUAAAUUGCUGGGCUGCUUUCUACCUGAGGAAGUCCACUAUGCUUGCUUUUGGAGAGUGGAUUGUGUGCUCAGAGUCCACAAGGAUUUAAGAAUCCAAGCCCUGCUGCCCUUGCCUCAGCCUGUGCAUUAGGGCCUGGUGGUGAGAGCACUGAGCCAUUGUGAAUCAAGGCCCCUCCCUCGACCUGCAUACUAACAGGCCAGAAGAGCUUGUUUGAUUUUGGUCCUAGGCUCCUGCCUGUGGGUUGGAUUCCAGGUGCACUCUCUCCUCCACAAACCAGACAGUGGCAGGUACAUCCCCUCAAUGGAAAUUGCCCACACUUCACCCUAAAGACAGAUCCUGCUGUUCAGCAACAAUGUGAGUGGCCCACACAUUUGUCCAGCAUGAAACCGUUUGCAGAUUCCUUUCCAGUACACAGUCCCGUCAGCCGGUCACAUCACGAUGCCAGCUCCUCGAAGCACCUUUUGGUUUGCAGUUGUGUAGCUUAGAAGUAGGAGCCUGCAUGGCUUCAGGAAUUCACAGAAGGAACACACUUUGUGCUUGGAGAAGUUAAUUAUAGGAAUAUCCUGCAACCUGCUGCUCUGAGCCUGUGCACCUGGGGUGUUUCCCUGGAGGUCCUGUGUAUGAGGAUACUCAUCAGCAUGGGGUUUGGGAAGCUAGAACUGGAGACAACCUAGGUGGUCCUCUCCAGGGGAGUAGGUAAGAGCCCUACAGCAGUGAAAAGCAUUGAAGGAAAAGUGUGUUCAGCAGUGCUCUUAAUCUCAUCAGAGCAACCUGAACACAUUCUAAACACAGGGCAUUUAGAACUAGGGUAGAGGCACUAGAGCACCAUAGAUACAAACUCAGAUUCUGAAGGUAAAUGCCCAGGUUCAAAUCCAAGCCCCCUCGCCAAGUGACCACGACUCCCCCGAGUCACCUGACCUCUGUGUUUACAUCCUCAAAGUUAAGUAGUCAGGAAAGGGGGCUUGGGGCUUGCCACAUGGAUGGUUGCCACUCUCCUUUGCAAAGUGUAGUCCCCAAAAACAGGUGGAAGAGGGAAGGGUCCAAUUAGAAGGCCGAGUACCAGCUGCCGUGAAUAUGCCAGAGCUGCUGGCUAGUGAUAAAUAACUGAAACCCAGGGGGACAGCAGAGCUAUGGUGACCAUACAUUCUAGGAAAGAAAAGAUGCCUGUUGUCCUGGCUUUUUAUCCAGCUUAGACAAAGAAGGACAAAGAAAAUAAUUUAGAAAAUGGUAGAGAUGGGCACAGAGAAAGGGCACUGAGGGAGGCACAAACAGAAGGCCAAGUGAUGGUGGAGGCAGACAUUGGAGAAAUGCCUUUGCCAGCCGGGGAAUGCCAAGGAUGCUGGCAACCCUGGGAGUGGGAAGAACCUGGAACACGCCCUCCCUCAGAGUCUCCAGAAGGAACUGGCCCUUCAUCACCUUUCGGACUUCUGGCCUCCAGAACUGGGCAAGAAAAUGUUUCUGCUGUUGGAGGCCAUCCAGCUGGUGGUCAUUUGUUAUGGUUGCCACAGAAAACGAAUAUAGAUUUAGACAUCUAAUUUGCAUAUAUAGAUGUGCAUGUGUAUUUGUUAAAUAAAAGAUAAAGCAUGAUAACUCAAUGGACAACGUUACAACUCAUUAAAUUGUGUUGGUUAAAAAAAA
Gorilla gorilla gorilla (western lowland gorilla) is the source of this 3555-nucleotide long non-coding RNA. RefSeq lists it as uncharacterized. The transcript has 2 exons. The record is from RefSeq and is a predicted model, not a curated record. NCBI's taxonomy places the organism in Eukaryota, Metazoa, Chordata, Mammalia, Primates, Hominidae.